This 378-nucleotide unclassified non-coding RNA is filed under the name plant metagenome. RNAcentral's name for it is "partial contains 5.8S ribosomal RNA, internal transcribed spacer 2, and large subunit ribosomal RNA". The stretch from base 1 to 105 matches the Rfam family "5.8S ribosomal RNA", at positions 50 to 154 of the family's 154-position model. The record is from RNAcentral.
GAAAUGCGAUAAGUAAUGUGAAUUGCAGAAUUCAGUGAAUCAUCGAAUCUUUGAACGCACCUUGCGCUCCUUGGUAUUCCUUGGAGCAUGCCUGUUUGAGUAUCAUGAAAUCUUCAAAGUAAAUCUUUUGUUAACUCAAUUGGUUUCUACUUUGGUAUUGGAGGUCUUUGCAGCUUCACACCUGCUCCUCUUUGUUCAUUAGCUGGAUCUCAGUGUUAUGCUUGGUUCCACUCGGCGUGAUAAGUUAUCUAUCGCUGAGGACACUGUAAAAGGUGGCCAAGGUAAAUGCAGAUGAACCGCUUCUAAUAGUCCAUUGACUUGGACAAUACUUUUAUGAUCUGACCUCUAAUCAGGUAGGACUCCCCGCUGAACUUAAGC